RNAcentral lists this ribosomal RNA (319 nucleotides) under uncultured Pelobacter sp. RNAcentral's name for it is "bacterial SSU rRNA". It matches the Rfam family "Bacterial small subunit ribosomal RNA", at positions 1060 to 1387 of the family's 1533-position model. Lineage: Bacteria; Pseudomonadati; Thermodesulfobacteriota; Desulfuromonadia; Desulfuromonadales; Desulfuromonadaceae. The record is from RNAcentral.
CCGUGUGUGAGAUGUUGGGUUAGUCCGCACGAGCGCAACNUGUCUUAGUUGCCGGCAUUCAGUUGGGCACUCUAAGGAGACUGCCGGUGUUAAACCGGAGGAAGGUGGGGAUGACGUCAAGUCCUCAUGGCCCUUAUGUCCAGGGCUACACACGUGCUACAAUGGCCGGUACAAAGGGUAGCGAGACCGCAAGGUUGAGCGAAUCCCAAAAAGCUGGUCUCAGUUCGGAUUGGAGUUUGCAACUCGACUCCAUGAAGUUGGAAUCGCUAGUAAUCGCGGAUCAGCAUGCCGCGGUGAAUACGUUCCCGGGCCUUGUACA